CCCAGGACUUGGCUGACUUCCUGGACUUGAGGCUGGCUUCAAAGGACAUAUAUAUGGAUAAUACACAUACAAAAAGAAGCUCCGUCUCGUUGGUAUUCAGGAACAUAUGCUGCCUUAUUUUACUGAGAAGAAGACCGUCAAAUCCAAAAAGAAGCCAUCAAAUCCAAACACACUCCUUCUCCCGAUUUCAGACCACAUUCAUUGUCAGCAUCUUCUCCUUCUCGUCUGUUACGACCGACGAAAUGCGUCUGCUCCCUGUCAGGGCAAACCCCUUUGCCUGUGCUCUGACUCCACCUCUCUUGCCAACUCAAAACUUCAUUACUUCAUUCAUCUUUCUAAUUUCCUUCCCCGUCCAAAUUUCCUUCCAAUUUCUAUCACCCAUCUACUGGAUCCUUUUUGUCAGCAUUUAAGUAGGCUGAGUGUUGUCCACCUUUAACAGAGAUUCACCCUUAAGAGUUCAUAUCAUCUCUGUGAUAUUCUUGCCAAGAAUGUUUAACCUGAAUCCAAUCAUGACAAAAAAAUCAGGACAAUCCAGAAUGUGGGACAUGCUACGUGACAACCAGCCCAAACUCUCCAAUGUCAGUGGCAUGAAAGACAGAAAAAUACAGGGGACUGUUUCUGAUUAAAGGAGACUACAGAGAUGUGGCAACCAAAUGGAAUGCAUGACUCUUGAUCGGAUGCUGGACCAGAGAAAAAGCUACAAAGGACAUUUUUAAACAUUUGGGGAAAUGUGAAUAUGGUCUCUUUAUUAGAUAACUUUGAUGCUAAAUUUCUUUGAGUGGGAUAUAUCAUGAGGUCAUGUGGGAGAAUGAGCUCGUUCUUAGGAAAAGCAUGCUGAUAUACAGGGGGGUCUGCAACUUUAUUUCCAGUGAUUUACCCCAAAGUGAAUACAUGCGGGUAUGUGCAUGGGAAUUAAAUGUGACAAAGGGUUGACAAAUGAUUAAAGUGAAGGGUACAGAAGUGUUCAUUGUUCUAUCCUUUCAACUUUUCUGUAGGUUUUUCAUUUUUAGGAAUUAGCCAUAUUGGUAUGGGUCUAUUUCUAGACUUUUUAUUUUCUCCCAUUGAUCUGUACAUCUCUCCUUUUGCCAAUACCACAUAAGUCAAGAUGACUAUAGCUUUGUAAUAAGUAUUAAAAUCUGGUAAUAUAAUUC
Molecule: long non-coding RNA, 1151 nt
Filed under: Homo sapiens (human)
Lineage: Eukaryota; Metazoa; Chordata; Mammalia; Primates; Hominidae
Description: HSALNT0399808
Source: RNAcentral